This 245-nucleotide ribosomal RNA is filed under the name uncultured Anaeromyxobacter sp. RNAcentral describes it as "partial 16S ribosomal RNA". It matches the Rfam family "Bacterial small subunit ribosomal RNA", at positions 524 to 768 of the family's 1533-position model. Lineage: Bacteria; Pseudomonadati; Myxococcota; Myxococcia; Myxococcales; Anaeromyxobacteraceae. The record is from RNAcentral.
UACAGGGGGUGCAAACGUUGCUCGGAAUUAUUGGGCGUAAAGCGCUUGUAGGCGGUCUGUUAAGUUCCGUGUGAAAGCCCCUGGCUUAACCAGGGAAGUGCGCGGAAAACUGGCGGACUUGAGUGCCGGAGAGGGUCGCGGAAUUCCCGGUGUAGAGGUGAAAUUCGUAGAUAUCGGGAGGAACACCAGUGGCGAAGGCGGCGACCUGGACGGACACUGACGCUGAGACGCGAAAGCGUGGGGAG